RNAcentral lists this ribosomal RNA (253 nucleotides) under uncultured bacterium. Its description in RNAcentral is "partial 16S ribosomal RNA". It matches the Rfam family "Bacterial small subunit ribosomal RNA", at positions 524 to 776 of the family's 1533-position model. The record is from RNAcentral.
UACGUAGGGGGCGAGCGUUGUCCGAAUUUACUGGGCGUAAAGCGCGCGUAGGCGGGUUAUUAAGUUGGUGGUGAAAUCCCGGGGCUCAACCCCGGAACUGCCUCCAAAACUGGUAGCCUUGAGGUAUGGAGAGGGAAGUGGAAUUCCUGGUGUAGCGGUGAAAUGCGUAGAUAUCAGGAGGAACACCCGUGGCGAAGGCGGCUUCCUGGCCAUAUCCUGACGCUGAGGUGCGAAAGCUAGGGGAGCGAACGGG